Molecule: small RNA, 30 nt
Filed under: Arabidopsis thaliana (thale cress)
Lineage: Eukaryota; Viridiplantae; Streptophyta; Magnoliopsida; Brassicales; Brassicaceae
Description: ATSL133110
Source: RNAcentral
CUCUCCUCUCCUCUCUCUCUUCUCUUUUUU